This 440-nucleotide ribosomal RNA is filed under the name uncultured bacterium. RNAcentral's name for it is "bacterial SSU rRNA". It matches the Rfam family "Bacterial small subunit ribosomal RNA", at positions 338 to 795 of the family's 1533-position model. The record is from RNAcentral.
CCUACGGGAUGCAGCAGUGGGGAAUAUUGGACAAUGGGCGAAAGCCUAAUCCAGCAAUGCCGCGUGUGUGAAGAAGGUCUUCGGAUUGUAGAGCACUUUCGACGGGGACGAUGAUGACGGUACCCGUAGAAGAAGCCCCGGCUAACGUCGUGCCAGCAGCCGCGGUAAUACGAAGGGGGCUAGCGUUGCUCGGAAUGACUGGGCGUAAAGGGCGCGUAGGCGGUUUAUGCAGUCAGAUGUGAAAUCCCCGGGCUUAACCUGGGAACUGCAUUUGAGACGCAUAGACUAGCGGUCGAGAGAGGGUUGUGGAAUUCCCAGUGUGGAGGUGAAAUUCGUAGAUGUUGGGAAGAACACCGGUGGCGAAGGCGGCAACCUGGCUCGAUACUGACGCUGAGGCGCGAAAGCGUGGGGAGCAAACAGGAUUAGAUACCCGAGUAGUC